UUUACCUGCUAGGGGAGCCUUUGUGAAGGCUGAGAUUAGAGUGAAACUUUAAGACCCUUUGAACCUGAUCUGGAUGAUACCAGCGUAGGGAAGUGGAGUAUGUAAAAA
Molecule: non-coding RNA, 108 nt
Filed under: Mesobacillus subterraneus
Lineage: Bacteria; Bacillati; Bacillota; Bacilli; Caryophanales; Bacillaceae
Description: Bacillus subterraneus TPP sequence
Rfam family: TPP riboswitch aptamer (THI element)
About the family: Vitamin B(1) in its active form thiamin pyrophosphate (TPP) is an essential coenzyme that is synthesised by coupling of pyrimidine and thiazole moieties in bacteria. The previously detected thiamin-regulatory element, thi box was extended, resulting in a new, highly conserved RNA secondary structure, the THI element, which is widely distributed in eubacteria and also occurs in some archaea. Analysis of operon structures identified a large number of new candidate thiamin-regulated genes, mostly transporters, in various prokaryotic organisms.
Source: Rfam by way of RNAcentral